This 24-nucleotide small RNA is filed under the name Arabidopsis thaliana (thale cress). RNAcentral's name for it is "ATSL294300". Lineage: Eukaryota; Viridiplantae; Streptophyta; Magnoliopsida; Brassicales; Brassicaceae. The record is from RNAcentral.
AUUCUUUUCUUCUUUUUAUUUUGU